Molecule: ribosomal RNA, 259 nt
Filed under: uncultured bacterium
Lineage: Bacteria
Description: partial 16S ribosomal RNA
Rfam family: Archaeal small subunit ribosomal RNA
Source: RNAcentral
CACCAGCGUCGCGAGUGGUGACCGGAUUAUUGGGCCUAAAGCGUUCGUAGCAGGCUUUGUAAAUCUUUUGUGAAAUUGUUGGGCUUAACCUAACAACGUGCAAGAGACACUGCAAGGCUAGGAACCGGGAGAGGUAAGGAGUAUGCUGGGGGGAGCGGUAAAAUGUGAUAAUCCUCGGUAGACUACCAGUGGCGAAGGCGCCUUACCAGAACGGAUUCGACUGUGAGGAACGAAAGCUAGGGGAGCAAACCGGAUUAGA